GGUGGUGUGACUCAAGUGGUAGAGUGCCUACCUUAGCAAGUUUGAGAACCUGAGUUCAAACCCAGUACUACCA
This 73-nucleotide transfer RNA is filed under the name Dipodomys ordii (Ord's kangaroo rat). It matches the Rfam family "tRNA". Rfam says of the family: Transfer RNA (tRNA) molecules are approximately 80 nucleotides in length. The record is from Rfam by way of RNAcentral. Lineage: Eukaryota; Metazoa; Chordata; Mammalia; Rodentia; Heteromyidae.